GUGUUUGUUUUGGCAGCACAUAAAUUUGAAAUAAUACAGAGAAGAUUAGCAUGCCUCCUGCACAAAUUGAGAUUGCCCCAUCUUGUAGACAUAUAAGAGAUUUUA
Talpa occidentalis (Iberian mole) is the source of this 105-nucleotide small nuclear RNA. The record is from RefSeq and is a predicted model, not a curated record. Lineage: Eukaryota; Metazoa; Chordata; Mammalia; Eulipotyphla; Talpidae.